RNAcentral lists this ribosomal RNA (402 nucleotides) under uncultured bacterium. RNAcentral describes it as "bacterial SSU rRNA". It matches the Rfam family "Bacterial small subunit ribosomal RNA", at positions 355 to 774 of the family's 1533-position model. The record is from RNAcentral.
UGGGGAAUAUUGCACAAUGGGGGAAACCCUGAUGCAGCAACGCCGCGUGAGUGAUGACGGCCUUCGGGUUGUAAAGCUCUGUCUUCAGGGACGAUAAUGACGGUACCUGAGGAGGAAGCCACGGCUAACUACGUGCCAGCAGCCGCGGUAAUACGUAGGUGGCAAGCGUUGUCCGGAUUUACUGGGCGUAAAGGGAGCGUAGGCGGACUUUUAAGUGAGAUGUGAAAUACCCGGGCUCAACCUGGGUGCUGCAUUUCAAGCUGGAAGUCUAGAGUGCAGGAGAGGAGAGUGGAAUUCCUAGUGUAGCGGUGAAAUGCGUAGAGAUUAGGAAGAACACCAGUGGCGAAGGCGACUCUCUGGACUGUAACUGACGCUGAGGCUCGAAAGCGUGGGGAGCAAACA